Molecule: ribosomal RNA, 212 nt
Filed under: Solen marginatus
Lineage: Eukaryota; Metazoa; Mollusca; Bivalvia; Adapedonta; Solenidae
Description: partial 16S ribosomal RNA
Rfam family: Bacterial large subunit ribosomal RNA
Source: RNAcentral
AAGACGAGAAGACCCUGUCGAGCUUGAUAAAGUGCACAGAAUGGUUUGUGUAAAUAAGUUUAGCUGGGGCAGCUCCGAACAAAUAAAAAGUUUUGUGUGUAAUUGUGAAGAUCCAAUAGAUAUGUUGAAUAAAGAAAAAGUUACCGCAGGGAUAACAGCGUAAUUUUUUCUGAGAGAACUAAUUGAAGAAAAAGAUUGCGACCUCGAUGUUG